Long non-coding RNA from Crotalus tigris (Tiger rattlesnake), 347 nucleotides. RefSeq lists it as uncharacterized. NCBI's taxonomy places the organism in Eukaryota, Metazoa, Chordata, Lepidosauria, Squamata, Viperidae. The record is from RefSeq and is a predicted model, not a curated record. The transcript has 3 exons.
GGAAAAUGUACAAACUCAUCUUGUUUGAGAACUGCUGAAUCAUGUUCUUAUUGGUUGAAUUGUCUUCUCUCAGAUCCAGUCAUUUAUUUUGUGUAAGAGUCCCAGGACCAAUACAAGACAGGAGCCUAAGUUGGGGUUAAAUUAGCAACCAUCCAACUAAGAAAAAAGAACUGAAAAACUUGCUGAUGGUCUAUCCAAACUUCAGUCCAUUCACUGUGAGAAAUCAUGAAGAAUAGAUAACUGAAGCUUUUUUCAAAGCACAUGAGGUGAAAAGGCUUGAAUGAAAGCAGCUGAAGAAUUAUAAAUGUUUAAGUAAAACAAUUAAAAUAAAAUAUGUUUUCAGUAAA